RNAcentral lists this long non-coding RNA (4471 nucleotides) under Olea europaea subsp. europaea. Lineage: Eukaryota; Viridiplantae; Streptophyta; Magnoliopsida; Lamiales; Oleaceae. The record is from RNAcentral.
GUUUUCUUCUGUAGAUAAUGCAUUUAGGGACAUUUUAACUUGCAGGUCGAGUAGGACAACUUUGUCAGAAGCGGCUCCUGCUGAUGCUUCGCCAGAUAUGAUUGUAAAUGACAUGAACGAGCCUGAACUGCUACUUGAUUCCUCUUUUGAUGUGGUUGUCGAUACUAACCAUGUUGAGGCUCUUUUUGAUGUACCAACUGAAAGGCCCGUUCGUUCUAAAAUGCCUGUGCCAAUUUCUUUUGUUAGUUAUGAUGAGAAAGAUGCUAAAGCUGCUGAGCAGUGGCUGAACAUUAUUACUGGGGUGGGACAAAGGUUCAAUAGUGUAAAUGAGUUUCGCGAGGCAUUACGUAAAUAUGCCCUGGCACAUCAGUUUGCUUUCAAAUACAAGAAAAAUGAUAGUCAUCGUGUAUCUGUUAAAUGCAAGGCCGAUGGUUGUCCAUGGAGAAUUUAUGCAUCAAGGUUGGUGACCACUCAGCUGAUAUGUAUUAAGAAAAUGAUUCCAACACAUUCUUGUGAAGGAUCUGCACUUACAACUGGCAUUCAGGCAACAAGAAGUUGGGUUGCUAGCAUCGUGAAGGAGAAGUUGAAAGUUUUUCCGAACUAUAAGCCCAAAGACAUUGUUAAAGACAUCAAAGAGGAAUUUGGGAUCCAGUUGAAUUACUUUCAGGCAUGGCGGGGGAAAGAAAUUGCUAAGGAGCAGCUCCAGGGUUCUUACAAAGAGGCAUAUAGUAAGUUACCACUUUUCUGUGAGAAGAUAAUGGAAACAAAUCCCGGAAGUUUAGCGACUUUUGCCACUAAAGAAGACUCGAGCUUCCAUCGCCUCUUUGUGUCUUUCCAUGCUUCCCUAUAUGGCUUCGAACAAGGCUGCCGUCCUUUGCUUUUCCUAGAUGGCAUAUUUUUGAAGUCUAAAUAUCAAGGCACACUUUUGGUAGCAACAGCUGUUGAUGGGAAUGAUGGUGUUUUUCCUGUUGCUUUUGCUGUUGUGGAUGCUGAAUCUGAUGACAACUGGCAUUGGUUCUUACUACAACUCAAAACUGCUUUGUCAGUGUGUCGUGGGAUAACUUUUGUGGCAGAUAGAGAGAAGGGACUAAAAGAGUCAAUUGCUGAAAUUUUUCAGAAUGAUGAUGUUUACCAUAGCUACUGCCUGACCCAUCUCUCUGAGCAAUUUAUCAGAGACUUGAAGGGACAGUUUUCUCAUGAAGUGAAGCGUCUUAUGGUUGAAGAUUUUUAUAGUGCUGCUCAUGCUUCUACCCCUGAAGACUUCCAAAGAUGUGUGGAAAGCAUCAAAACUAUUUCAAUAGAAGCAUACAGUUGGAUCAUGCAAAGUGAGCCUGUUCAUUGGGCAAAUGCAUUCUUCCAAGGUGCAAGAUAUAACCACAUGACUUCAAACUUCGGAGAACUGUUCCAGAGUUGGUUAUCAGAUGCACAUGAAUUGCCAAUAAUCCAGAUGGUUGAUGCCAUUCGAGGUAAGAUUAUGGAGUUGAUAUAUACCCGGCAGACAGAAUCUAACCAUUGGCAGACAAGAUUAACUCCAUCAAUGGAGGGGAAACUCGAAAAAGAAAACAUUAAAGUUAGAACCCUUCAGGUAUUAAUAUCAGCUGGUAACAGAUUUGAGGUACGUGGGGAUACCAUUGAAACUGUUGAUGUGGAUAACUGUGUUUGUAGUUGCAAGGAGUGGCAGCUUACUGGAUUACCCUGCUGCCAUGCAAUCGCUGUCAUUACUUGUGUUAACCGUGAUCCAUAUGAUUAUUGUUCUAGAUACUUCACAACUAAUAACUAUAGAGUAACAUAUUCACAGUCAAUACAUCCUGUUUCGAAUAUAGAUGGCCCCUGGCUGAAGGGCUCUUCUCAGUUGGCAGUGGCUGUAACCCCUCCUCCAACUCGUCGUCCACCAGGCCGGCCUACUACAAAGAAAAUUGGCUCACAGGAUGCAGCAAAACGUCAACUUCAAUGCAGUAGAUGCAAGGGUAGUGGGCACAACAAAUCAAGCUGUAAAGAGAUUUUGCUGGAAUGAUAAACUAUGUAAGUAUACUUUAUGAUCUUUUUGGCUGCAUCGUUUACAUAUAUCUAUUUAACAUCCUUUAACAUAUCAGAUGGCUUCCAUUCAUUAGCAAACUGUAUUGACCUGAGUGGAAAGGAACAUCUUCCAUCUAUACUUCCUUGACUGUUCAUAAUGUCAACAUAUUCAUGGUCUAUGUAGAUCUUCCUUCAUUGCUUUCUUGGAAACAUCCUGCUCCUACGCUAAUGUAGAUAUUCUGAGUGUUAGUCUGUCUGUUAGAUUUACAUUUGGCCUGUUGAUAUUCCAAUACCUUUUGUAUUGUCAGUAGCCUUCCAUGUUUUUUUUCACCUUCACUGUCAAGUGGUUCAGAGUGAGGCUUUCUCCCUAUCCUAUAAAGCACGAGCACGCCUAGAUGCUCCUCACUCCUCAGACACUCCAAUACUUGUGUCUGACAAGCCAAGUGUUGUGUCUUAUUCUUUAAAUGUCUGACACUUGAGGGAUAGUUUAGGGACAUGCGUUGGUGUCCGACUGUUGUGAAAAUUUUUGUUUCAGUGUGCCAUGUUAUUCCGUGUUGGUGUAUGUGCUUCUUAGACCCUAGCAUCUUUACAGAAUUUAUGCAUAUUCUCCCAAGAGUUUGUCACUGCACCCUAGCUCCUUCGACUACCAGAAUCUUUUCUCGAUUUGUUACCUAUCCUCUGCAUAGAAUAUUUUUUAAUAUGUAUUGGAGCUGUCGUAAUGCGUAUACUCCUCUAUGCAAAACUUCUUGCUUUCAAAUGAUGAAUUAAGAGACUAAGAUGUCUAUUUCCAACUACGUAAAUAAAGAAAGCUAUUGUACUUUAACUACUCAUUCCUUAUUCCCAUGGUUUAACAAACCCAAUUGAAACUCAUCUUAAGGUUCGCGUCAGAUUAAGGCUUGCAAAACACUUUAAGAUGCUGAUUAUGAGGCAAUUUUUUGAAGUGUACAGCACUAUGGAGCAUCGACACGUGGCCAACAUGCCUUUGACACAUGUUGAAUAUGCUACGUGGUGGUUCCAUCAUUUUCUCUAAUUUUAUAUUGCCAAACAUCGUGAAUAUUCCUCCUACAUGCCUUUGGAAGUUCAUGACACUACGUGAUUACUUGCAAAUGGUCGAAAAAAAGAAGGUAAAUUCACAUGACAUAUAUCGACUUCGUCCUUUUCUGAUAGCUAAAUUGCAAGCCUGCAACAUUGCUGUCGCUAUUGGGGGUUGGUGGCUUUGGGCUCUUUCCAUUUUAUCAAUCAAAAAGGCACUAAUGGCGAAGGAAACCUUAGAUGACGAAUUUACUUUUCAGAUUCCUAAUCUAAAGUAACACACUUUCUCUUAUUAAGUGUGUGCUUAGUUAGGGAAAACAUAGUUGUCCAAUUGACUUGCCUUUAUUAAAGGGCCAAGCAGCAUGUUUUAUUUGUUAGGUACAUAGGCGACUUUUCUUUUUUUAAGACAGAGAUGUGUUUUAUUAAAUAUAUCAAUCAACUGGGAGGGAAAAAAAUAAUUUAGCCUUCUUUUUUUCUAAGAAGAAUGUAACUUUCCUUUUUAACCAAUAGAAUAUUAAAAAAUUAUCAAGCAAUCGUCCCCUUUUACACUUUGAAAAUUGGGCACCUAACUUUUACGGUAUUAUUAAUAUUUUAAUUGCUUUAUAUUGUAUAGUUGAAAAAAUGGUUUUAAAAUUUUUUUAGCCCUUGUUUGAGCCACAUUAUUUUCAUAAGAAUGCUUUUUUUAAUAGUAUAUUGAUGGUAAAUGUGUGGUUAAAAAAUGAGGAAAAGUUUUGGAUUUGUGUGUAAUAUUAAUAUUUUGAUGAAGAAUGUGUACUUGAAAUUAUGUCAAAUCAUUGUUUAAGAAUGUAUUUUUUUGAAAGAAUGAAUCAAAACACUGGGUUUCAUGCAUGCCAUUAGAUUAUCGAAAGAUGAUAUUGUUUUGCUCUCACUUCAAUUUAAAGAUGUGCUGGCUUUUGAUAAGCUUUUAUUGUGUUUUUAUUCCAUGGUGUGCUGCUGUUUAACAAUUUAAUCUGUAUUCUCUUCCUUCCACAGGGUUGCUCUAUUGGUGAAUCAACAUCUUCGACCGGCAAUAUUUUCUGAUGAGUUUAAUUCAAGUCUCACUUAGUUCAUCAUUCCUUUGAUCAUUUAUCUGACUUCAGGUUCUUAGUAGUGAAAAUGGUGUUGAUAAUGGAAGGAGUCUGAGUGCUAUUCAACAGCAUUCUUUUCAGCAUGUUUCUUAUAGUUCUUGGAAGGCUGAUGGUAUGUACAUAGUAACAAACUUCUGUUACUACUUUCUUGCCUGUAUGAUGUAGAACCUCCCUAACAUGCGUGUGAUCUUUUUGUUGGCUGCUAAUUUAGUCUUCGGUGUUGGUGGAUAAGAACGCAAAUAUGAUCCUGACAUGAUUAAUAAAGUGGACAGUGUUAGGUAGUCAAUAAGAAAGCGAAUCUAAAUUUGUCCGUUGAACUGUCCAGUUCAUUACGG